UGGGGAAUCUUGGACAAUGGGCGCAAGCCUGAUCCAGCCAUGCCGCGUGAGUGAAGAAGGCCUUAGGGUUGUAAAGCUCUUUUACCAGGGACGAUAAUGACGGUACCUGGAGAAUAAGCCCCGGCAAACUUCGUGCCAGCAGCCGCGGUAAUACGAAGGGGGCUAGCGUUGUUCGGAAUUACUGGGCGUAAAGCGCACGUAGGCGGGUCGUUAAGUCAGGGGUGAAAUCCCGGAGCUCAACUCCGGAACUGCCUUUGAUACUGGCGAUCUAGAGGUCGAGAGAGGUGAGUGGAAUUCCGAGUGUAGAGGUGAAAUUCGUAGAUAUUCGGAAGAACACCAGUGGCGAAGGCGGCUCACUGGCUCGAUACUGACGCUGAGGUGCGAAAGCGUGGGGAGCAAACAGGAUUAGAUACCCAUGUAGUCCCUGAGCGGGCUGGCAAGGCGCAU
Molecule: ribosomal RNA, 447 nt
Filed under: uncultured bacterium
Lineage: Bacteria
Description: bacterial SSU rRNA
Rfam family: Bacterial small subunit ribosomal RNA
Source: RNAcentral